This is a long non-coding RNA of Helianthus annuus (common sunflower), 381 nucleotides long. RefSeq lists it as uncharacterized. The transcript has 3 exons. Lineage: Eukaryota; Viridiplantae; Streptophyta; Magnoliopsida; Asterales; Asteraceae. The record is from RefSeq and is a predicted model, not a curated record.
AGGGCAAGAAGAACAACACCCACCUCUUCACCAUCAACUAGAAAUUCAGCCAAUUGUAGGUGAAUGAGAAUCAAAAUCUUGUGCAUGUGAUGAGAUUCAUAACCAUCUAAGAAUUCUCUACAUAAGGGAUCAAAGAAGAAAGUUCAAGUCGCUCCGGAUCGCAAACGAACAACGACAAAGGUAAAGCAACUUGUUAACGGCGUUACUUGGAUCGAACACACUCAUGAUGCACGCUUCCGCGAAGAUCCUAGUUUUGGUUUAAACUUUUGUUAAGUGAUGUCUUUUAUUAAAAACGGGUCUUUUGUAAGUAUCUUAACCCGGUAGUCAUUAGAUGUUACACUAGUAGUUCAAGACUAUGUUAUUGGUUUUGAAACGUUUGGG